GGAGGCCUCCGUGGCCGUGCAACGACCGUUCAUGUUUGACGAUAGGCAGGCCUGCGCGGGGGCCGGUGCGGGGGCGCAGAGAGGGUGUCUGCCCGGUCCCCCUGUGAGCUGGGCAGUCCGACAGGGUUUUUGUUAAUUGCAGACUAUUCAAGGGUGUCUACCUGUAGGGGCGUUUCCCUGGAGAUCGGGCCCAGGGGCAGAGACCUUCCUUUGGCCACCUGGGAGCAGCAUGUGAGGAAGCUGCAAGUCACAAGUGGCUUCUGGCCUGAAAAGUCCUUCAUUUGCCUACAUCUGUCCCCUCUGACCCAGCCCUCCUUCCUACGGGAGGUGAGGUUCCAGGAAGUAGGGGGUUGAGUUUAGAAAACGAUUCUUGCAAUUAGAAAAGUAGCUUAAGCCCUAGCCUGUUUGGCUCGGUGGAUGGAGCUUCGGCCUGCGGACUGAAGGGUCCCGGGUUCGAUUCAGUUCAAGGGCACAUGCCGGGUCUGUGGCUCGAGCCCCAGUAGGCGGCGUGCAGGAGGUGGCUGAUCAGUGAUUCUCUCUCAUCAUUGAUGUUUGUCUCCCUCCCUUCCUCUCUGAAAAAAGUAAAAAUGUUUUUUGUUGUUGUUUUUUUAAGUAGCUUAAGUGGCUUUGGAAUAGUUUUUAAGCAACAACCUUCGUUCUCUAAAGCCAGAAACCUGGGCCUCUUUCUCAAUUACCACGCCCCCCUCCCCCCAAUCCCCAGCCCCCAGAUCAAUGCCACCAAGUCCCUUCUGCUUAUUUCAUGAAUAUCUUCCAAAUACUUGCUCUCCCUGCCUGUCUUGAUUCAGGCCCACCCUCUCACCUAAAUUACCAUGACAGCAGCUUAUUAAAAACAUAGCUAUCUGGGUACCACCAAAUCAGGAUCGUGGGGGAGUGGGCAUCACUAUUUUUUAAUAAGCUCUCAUUUUGGUGCACAUCAAAAUUUGAUCAUGAGUAUAUAAGGUGAAGUCAAAAAAGCUUGGCAUGGCCUGGCUGCCAUUGCUUAGUGGUUGAGCAUUGACCUAUGAGCCAGGAGGUCAUGGUUCCCAGUCAGGGCACAGGCCGAGGUUGCCGGCUCAAUCCCCAGUAGGGGGCGCAUGCAGGAGGCAGCCAAUCAGUGAUUCUCAUCAUUGAUGUUUCUAUCUCUCCCUCACCCUUCCUCUCUGAAAUAAAAAUUUAUUAAAAAAAAAAAAAAAAAAAAAGCAAAAAGCUCGGCAUGUAAGGUCACUCAGACCUGGACCUUAAUUGUUUUUUUAGGUACAUUCCCCUUCUGUAAUCCUAUCCUGUAUUCAAGUUAAAAUUCUUUUUUCCUUGUUUAAAAUUAAUUUUAGAGAGAUGAAGGAAGAGAAACAUCAAUUUGUUGUUCCACUUAUUUAUGCAUUUAUUGGUUUCUUCUUAUAUGUGUCCUCAUCUGAGAUAGAACUGGCAAUGUUGGCGUUUUGGGAUGAUGCUCUAACCAACUGCUCUCUGGCCAGGGCUCAUAUUGAAAUUCUGAAUGUCAUGUUCUCUCAAGCCUGCAAGCCUCAUGUGGUUCCUUCUGCCUAAACUGCCCAAUCUACCAUUCCUGACCUGCCUGGAGGCUUUUGAACAGUGCAAGCGCCAUCUUCUCUAUAAAGCCUUCCCUUUCGUCUCCUUCCAAGCAUUGUUGGUAGCACUUUAACUGUACUGUUAUUUCUCAUGUGUGUCUCCCUUGUUAACUGCUAACUCCUUACAGAAGUUUAUCCAUUUCGCGAUCCUCUGGACCUAGCAGUGCUCUUGUAUAUAGUAGGUAGCUUAAUGCACGUUCUUCAGAUGAAGUGGGUAACUCCUCCCACCCCUGCCUCCUUACCCCAGUGCCCUGGACAAUGCUCAUCUUGAUAGAGUAAGGAUAUGUAGGCCAGGUUGUCAAUAAAUGGGGAUUUACCAGUA
Myotis myotis is the source of this 1905-nucleotide long non-coding RNA. RefSeq lists it as uncharacterized. Lineage: Eukaryota; Metazoa; Chordata; Mammalia; Chiroptera; Vespertilionidae. The record is from RefSeq and is a predicted model, not a curated record. The transcript has 2 exons.